CUCUAAUCACGACUUGGACCUUCUGGUGACCAUCCUGCAUACUCAGCCACAAGAACUCAAGAAGGGUAGAGGGGGAAACUUCCUUCUUCCUGAAGGUACCCUGGGUAGAAGGAGCAGCUUUAAAUUCUCAGAGGUGUCUGACACAGGUUUUGGCAUCCUUUUGGGAUGUAGAAAUCACCAUCUCAAACUGCAGAGUUCUCAGCUCUCCAGGUAAGGGCCAGAAAGAGAAGAGGAAUCGUAAGUGGAAGCAGAAUAUGUGGAAGAACCAUGAACAGAAAAUGAUCUCCUCAAUACUAAGAAAAGACUCACCAGGGAGAAGAGUA
Molecule: long non-coding RNA, 323 nt
Organism: Cervus elaphus (red deer)
Lineage: Eukaryota; Metazoa; Chordata; Mammalia; Artiodactyla; Cervidae
Exons: 3
Source: RefSeq, a predicted model, not a curated record